RNAcentral lists this ribosomal RNA (253 nucleotides) under uncultured bacterium. RNAcentral's name for it is "partial 16S ribosomal RNA". It matches the Rfam family "Bacterial small subunit ribosomal RNA", at positions 524 to 776 of the family's 1533-position model. The record is from RNAcentral.
UACGUAGGGGGCUAGCGUUGUCCGGAAUCAUUGGGCGUAAAGAGCGUGUAGGCGGCUCGGUAAGUCCGCUGUAAAAGUCAAAGGCUCAACCUUUGAAUGUCAGUGGAUACUGCCGGGCUAGAGUCCGGAAGAGGCGAGUGGAACUCCUGGUGUAGCGGUGGAAUGCGCAGAUAUCAGGAAGAACACCCGUGGCUAAGGCGGCUCUCUAGUACGGUACUGACGCUGAGACGCGAAAGCGUGGGGAGCGAACAGG